Molecule: long non-coding RNA, 1206 nt
Organism: Camelus dromedarius (Arabian camel)
Lineage: Eukaryota; Metazoa; Chordata; Mammalia; Artiodactyla; Camelidae
Exons: 6
Source: RefSeq, a predicted model, not a curated record
GGCGGAGUCCUCUGGUUCAGGCUCCACCGAGCUGCGCAUGCUCCAGAUCGCGGUCCAGGGCGCCCCGUCUCUGCACACAGCCCACCGCCGCCAUCUUGACUUGAGGCGUCGCGAGGCGCUCCUGCCCACAGUCGCAGAACUGAAGUGUCCGGCGGAGCCGUUUUACACUAGAAACUCUGGUCUGAAGUUUCUGGGGCGAGGUCUCUGCAUGUCGCAGACCGCAAGUGAAACUAAACUAAGCACAAAGGAAAGCAAAAAGUUUAUCUCCUUGUGGUGUCAAGAUGACUCCUGGAAGCUCCAGACAUAGCUGGUCCUUAAAGAUUAUGAUCUCACAGACAGAGAAAGCCAUUUCUUCUUCAGCAGGCUUAUCGAUCCCUGAGAAGGACUCGAAUUGGCCUUGUUGAGGUAGACUGAAGGCUCAAGGGCUCACCUCAAGCCUUGGGUGCAAGUUUGUUCUGUGUAUCUCCUCUUUCUUGUGGGACCAGCAGCUUCCCCAGGACACCCAGUUAAAUUUUUAUUUAUCUGGCAACAUGAUAGCAGGAACAUCUGAGAAGCCAAGUAUGUUCACUUCUGAAGUGGGACUGCAGAGGGGAAAUGUGUGAAGAGUCUAUGGAAAUAGGUACCAGCUCUUUGGCUACACAAGAUCAUGCUGGCCACCGUGUGGACAAUAGACAAUAGCAGGAAAGAAGUGAAAGCCAAAAAGCCAGGUGGAACCAAUGAACCGUUCAGGCCUGAGGAGUUAUUGGCACCCAUUUCAUUUGUCUUUCUCCAGGUUUAAAAUUGAGGUGAUGAGAUGGAGUAUUACCUGUGUGCUUCAGAACAUCCACGAGUGACAUGUGAUAGUUGCCUGGGAAACUAAGAUGAAAUUCUACAGGCCUUUUGAAAUGCUUUACAUUUGAGAAUAAAGCUCAGCUGAAGUUUAAGCAGCAUACUGACAGUGAGUAUUGAUCUCUCAUAUUAUCUGUUAGGAUAUUUGAGCCGUAGAUAACAGAAAACCCCCGACUCAAAGUGGUUUAACCAAGAAAGAAAUGUCUUAUCUAAUGUAUCUAGAAGUCCAGAGGUAGAAUGGGCUCCAAAUGUGUUGUAAUGAGAAGCCUAAUAUAAUCAAAGAUCCAAGUCCUUUUCUUAUUUCUCUUCUUUGUACUCAGCUACCUUCUGAGGCUGGUUGUCCUCAUGGUUUCAAGAUGGCUGAGCAUGACAAUCUGA